This 506-nucleotide ribosomal RNA is filed under the name uncultured bacterium. RNAcentral describes it as "partial 16S ribosomal RNA". It matches the Rfam family "Bacterial small subunit ribosomal RNA", at positions 29 to 523 of the family's 1533-position model. The record is from RNAcentral.
AGUGAACGCUGGCGGUAGGCCUAACACAUGCAAGUCGAACGGCAGCACAGGAGAGCUUGCUCUCUGGGUGGCGAGUGGCGGACGGGUGAGGAAUACAUCGGAAUCUACUCUGUCGUGGGGGAUAACGUAGGGAAACUUACGCUAGUACCGCAUACGACCUACGGGUGAAAGCAGGGGAUCUUCGGACCUUGCGCGAUUGAAUGAGCCGAUGUCGGAUUAGCUAGUUGGCGGGGUAAAGGCCCACCAAGGCGACGAUCCGUAGCUGGUCUGAGAGGAUGAGCAGCCACACUGGAACUGAGACACGGUCCAGACUCCUACGGGAGGCAGCAGUGGGGAAUAUUGGACAAUGGGCGCAAGCCUGAUCCAGCCAUACCGCGUGGGUGAAGAAGGCCUUCGGGUUGUAAAGCCCUUUUGUUGGGAAAGAAAUCCAGCUGGCUAAUACCCGGUUGGGAUGACGGUACCCAAAGAAUAAGCACCGGCUAACUUCGUGCCAGCCGCCACGGUAA